UGAUAUGCGAUGAAGCGGAAGGUUGCUUACGGUAUGUAAGGGAAUUUCCGCAGAGUAUGUCCGAUUUUAAACCGGGCGGCUG
Molecule: regulatory RNA element, 82 nt
Organism: Ruminococcus sp. CAG:353
Lineage: Bacteria; Bacillati; Bacillota; Clostridia; Eubacteriales; Oscillospiraceae
Rfam family: S10-Clostridia ribosomal protein leader
Source: Rfam